AAGUCGUAACAAGGUUUCCGUAGGUGAACCUGCGGAAGGAUCAUUAACACGUAUCCAAACGUUAAAACCCCCCCCGUGAACCUUCAUCCUGCUCUUGUAACCCGCGAAGCUUGCAAUCUCUGGUAAAUCAUAGCCCGGAAAGUAGUUUGAUUCAGAGACCUCUGGCCCGUGCGAACAUUGGAACAGUUACAAUCGACUGCGGUAGUUCUAUAGGCAUUGUUUCCCCAAGCAGUCAGUGUCUGAAAGUGUCAUUGACUGUGGAAGGAUAGCGCUUCACGAUUCCUGUAGACCGUACACUCGGGCAGGAGCUAUGCCAAAGGGUCCCCAUGCCCCCUUAUAACCCCACUUUCUAUUGCCGCUCCGCGCUAACACGCCGGGCAAUCAAAAACGUAACUUACAACUGUUAACAAUGGAUAUCUUGGUUCUC
Molecule: unclassified non-coding RNA, 427 nt
Filed under: fungal sp.
Lineage: Eukaryota; Fungi
Description: partial internal transcribed spacer region
Rfam family: Eukaryotic small subunit ribosomal RNA (bases 1-46)
Source: RNAcentral